CGUGUGUGUGUACGUGUGUGUGUGUGACUGUGUGUGUACGUGCGUGCGUUUGUGUGACUGUGUGUGUGUGCGUGCGUGCGUGUGUGUGUGCAGGAGAGCAGGGAGCGGGAGCGUCUGCUGGAUUCUCUUCAGAAAGAGAGAGACACUGUGAUCUCUAAACACACAACACAACUACACAAACUACAGCACACACUGGACACACAGCUGCAGGAGAUGCGCAGGACACACUCUCAGAAGGAGUCAGCUCUACAGGAGUGGAUGGAGAAGCUGGAGAUACAAACCAAAGAACUUCAAACUCAGGAGGCUGAACUUCAGUCAAAGGCAUCAGAUCUGAGGAAGAGGAGACAGCAGCUGUGUGAGGAAGAGGAGGACGCUCAGAGAGGAUUACAGUCUCUCCCGCAGCUGCUGAAGGAGCGGGAUGAGCUGCGUGAGGAGCUGCAGAGGAUGAGAGCAGAUCUGCAAAGAGAGAGACAGGAGCGAGAGCGACAGAGAGAGGAGAACAGCAGGAUGAUGGAGGAGCGACGGGAGCUGGAGGCCAGAGUCACGCUUCUGCAGGAGCGAUGUGAGCAGCUGACCUCCAGAGUCAGUGAACUGGAGCAGAGGAGCAGAGCGGAGCGAGAACAGCAGCAGGACGGAGCAGAGGACGAGCAGAAGAAGAGCAAGAGAAAGACAGAGAACGGUCUGCGUUUGGAGGAUCUGGAGGCUCCGCUGCUGCGGUCAGACGCCAGCGACACCAGCGUAGACGAGAGGUGAGCGAUCUGGCUGAGCUGAGGGAGACUCUUCAGAAGGGUCAAACGCUCCUGAAAGAAAAAGAGGAGAAACUCAACCAGCUCGAAACAUCACUGACUGAAGAGGUACAACACACACACACACUAUACACCAGGGUUCCUCAAUUAGUUUUCGCCAAAGGCCG
This 913-nucleotide long non-coding RNA is filed under the name Sinocyclocheilus anshuiensis. Its description in RNAcentral is "lncRNA (ENSSANG00000009713.1)". The record is from RNAcentral. Lineage: Eukaryota; Metazoa; Chordata; Actinopteri; Cypriniformes; Cyprinidae.